UAGACAUGAACCAAGUGUAGUUCUGUUCAA
RNAcentral lists this non-coding RNA (30 nucleotides) under Rattus norvegicus (Norway rat). Lineage: Eukaryota; Metazoa; Chordata; Mammalia; Rodentia; Muridae. The record is from RNAcentral.